GCAAGUCGAGCGGACAGAUGGGAGCUUGCUCCCUGAUGUUAGCGGCGGACGGGUGAGUAACACGUGGGUAACCUGCCUGUAAGACUGGGAUAACUCCGGGAAACCGGGGCUAAUACCGGAUGGUUGUUUGAACCGCAUGGUUCAAACAUAAAAGGUGGCUUCGGCUACCACUUACAGAUGGACCCGCGGCGCAUUAGCUAGUUGGUGAGGUAACGGCUCACCAAGGCGACGAUGCGUAGCCGACCUGAGAGGGUGAUCGGCCACACUGGGACUGAGACACGGCCCAGACUCCUACGGGAGGCAGCAGUAGGGAAUCUUCCGCAAUGGACGAAAGUCUGACGGAGCAACGCCGCGUGAGUGAUGAAGGUUUUCGGAUCGUAAAGCUCUGUUGUUAGGGAAGAACAAGUACCGUUCGAAUAGGGCGGUACCUUGACGGUACCUAACCAGAAAGCCACGGCUAACUACGUGCCAGCAGCCGCGGUAAUACGUAGGUGGCAAGCGUUGUCCGGAAUUAUUGGGCGUAAAGGGCUCGCAGGCGGUUUCUUAAGUCUGAUGUGAAAGCCCCCGGCUCAACCGGGGAGGGUCAUUGGAAACUGGGGAACUUGAGUGCAGAAGAGGAGAGUGGAAUUCCACGUGUAGCGGUGAAAUGCGUAGAGAUGUGGAGGAACACCAGUGGCGAAGGCGACUCUCUGGUCUGUAACUGACGCUGAGGAGCGAAAGCGUGGGGAGCGAACAGGAUUAGAUACCCUGGUAGUCCACGCCGUAAACGAUGAGUGCUAA
RNAcentral lists this ribosomal RNA (780 nucleotides) under Bacillus sp. R61-1. RNAcentral's name for it is "bacterial SSU rRNA". It matches the Rfam family "Bacterial small subunit ribosomal RNA", at positions 57 to 819 of the family's 1533-position model. Lineage: Bacteria; Bacillati; Bacillota; Bacilli; Caryophanales; Bacillaceae. The record is from RNAcentral.